AUUGAACGCUGGCGGCAGGCCUAACACAUGCAAGUCGAGCGGAUGAAGGGAGCUUGCUCCUGGAUUCAGCGGCGGACGGGUGAGUAAUGCCUAGGAAUCUGCCUGGUAGUGGGGGAUAACGUCCGGAAACGGGCGCUAAUACCGCAUACGUCCUGAGGGAGCAAGUGGGGGAUCUUCGGACCUCACGCUAUCAGAUGAGCCUAGGUCGGAUUAGCUAGUUGGUGGGGUAAAGGCCUACCAAGCCGACGAUCCGUAACUGGUCUGAGAGGAUGAUCAGUCACACUGGAACUGAGACAGGGUCAAGACUCCUGCGGGAGGCAGCAGAGGGGAAUAUGGGACAAUGGGCGAAAGCCUGAUCCAGCCAUGCCGCGUGUGUGAAGAAGGUCUUCGGAUUGUAAAGAACUUUAAGUUGGGAGGAAGGGCAGUAAGUUAAUACCUUGCUGUUUUGACGUUACCAACAGAAUAAGCACCGGCUAACUUCGUG
RNAcentral lists this ribosomal RNA (484 nucleotides) under uncultured bacterium. RNAcentral describes it as "partial 16S ribosomal RNA". It matches the Rfam family "Bacterial small subunit ribosomal RNA", at positions 30 to 507 of the family's 1533-position model. The record is from RNAcentral.